GGCCUACCAUGGUGGUAACGGGUGACGGAGGAUUAGGGUUCGAUUCCGGAGAGGGAGCCUGAGAGAUGGCUACCACAUCCAAGGAAGGCAGCAGGCGCGCAAAUUACCCAAUCCCAACACGGGGAGGUAGUGACAAUAAAUAACAAUACGGGGUUCUUUCGGAUUUCGUAAUUGGAAUGAGUACAAUUUAAAUCUCUUAACGAGGAACAAUUGGAGGGCAAGUCUGGUGCCAGCAGCCGCGGUAAUUCCAGCUCCAAUAGCGUAUAUUAAAGUUGUUGCAGUUAAAAAGCUCGUAGUUGAAUUUCGGGGUUAGUAGGUUGGUCAUGCCUCUGGUAUGUACUGGUCUCACUGAUUCCUCCUUCCUGAUGAGCCGUAAUGCCAUUAAUUUGGUGUUGCGAGGAAUCAGGACUGUUACUUUGAAAAAAUUAGAGUGUUUAAAGCAGGCAUACGCUUGAAUACAUUAGCAUGGAAUAAUGAAAUAGGACGUUUGAUUCUAUUUUGUUGGUUUCUAGGAUCGACGUAAUGAUUAAUAGGGAUAGUCGGGGGCGUCAGUAUUCAAUUGUCAGAGGUGAAAUUCUUGGAUCUAUUGAAGACUAACUACUGCGAAAGCAUUCGCCAAGGAUGUUUUCAUUAAUCAGUGAACGAAAGUUAGGGGAUCGAAGACGAUCAGAUACCGUCGUAGUCUUAACCGUAAACUAUGCCGACUAGGGAUCGGGCGAUGUUUCUAUAUUGACUCGCUCGGCACCUUACG
RNAcentral lists this ribosomal RNA (751 nucleotides) under uncultured Glomeromycotina. RNAcentral's name for it is "SSU rRNA". It matches the Rfam family "Eukaryotic small subunit ribosomal RNA", at positions 338 to 1092 of the family's 1831-position model. Lineage: Eukaryota; Fungi; Glomeromycota. The record is from RNAcentral.